GAUGAACGCUGGCGGCGUGCCUAAUACAUGCAAGUCGAGCGAACGGACGAGAAGCUUGCUUCUCUGAUGUUAGCGGCGGACGGGUGAGUAACACGUGGAUAACCUACCUAUAAGACUGGGAUAACUUCGGGAAACCGGAGCUAAUACCGGAUAAUAUUUUGAACCGCAUGGUUCAAAAGUGAAAGACGGUCUUGCUGUCACUUAUAGAUGGAUCCGCGCUGCAUUAGCUAGUUGGUAAGGUAACGGCUUACCAAGGCAACGAUGCAUAGCCGACCUGAGAGGGUGAUCGGCCGCACUGGAACUGAGACACGGUCCAGACUCCUACGGGAGGCAGCAGUAGGGAAUCUUCCGCAAUGGGCGAAAGCCUGACGGAGCAACGCCGCGUGAGUGAUGAAGGUCUUCGGAUCGUAAAACUCUGUUAUUAGGGAAGAACAUAUGUGUAAGUAACUGUGCACAUCUUGACGGUACCUAAUCAGAAAGCCACGGCUAACUACGUGCCAGCAGCCGCGGUAAUACGUAGGUGGCAAGCGUUAUCCGAAUUUAUGGGCGUNAAGCGCGCGUAGGCGGUUUUUUAGUCUGAUGUGAAAGCCCACGGCUCAACCGUGGAGGGUCAUUGGAAACUGGAAAACUUGAGUGCAGAAGAGGAAAGUGGAAUUCCAUGUGUAGCGGUGAAAUGCGCAGAGAUAUGGAGGAACACCAGUGGCGAAGGCGACUUUCUGGUCUGUAACUGACGCUGAUGUGCGAAAGCGUGGGGAUCAAACAGGAUUAGAUACCCUGGUAGUCCACGCCGUAAACGAUGAGUGCUAAGUGUUAGGGGGUUUCCGCCCCUUAGUGCUGCAGCUAACGCAUUUAGCACUCCGCCUGGGGAGUACGACCGCAAGGUUGAAACUCAAAGGAAUUGACGGGGACCCGCACAAGCGGUGGAGCAUGUGGUUUAAUUCGAAGCAACGCGAAGAACCUUACCAAAUCUUGACAUCCUUUGACAACUCUAGAGAUAGAGCCUUCCCCUUCGGGGGACAAAGUGACAGGUGGUGCAUGGUUGUCGUCAGCUCGUGUCGUGAGAUGUUGGGUUAAGUCCCGCAACGAGCGCAACCCUUAAGCUUAGUUGCCAUCAUUAAGUUGGGCACUCUAAGUUGACUGCCGGUGACAAACCGGAGGAAGGUGGGGAUGACGUCAAAUCAUCAUGCCCCUUAUGAUUUGGGCUACACACGUGCUACAAUGGACAAUACAAAGGGCAGCGAAACCGCGAGGUCAAGCAAAUCCCAUAAAGUUGUUCUCAGUUCGGAUUGUAGUCUGCAACUCGACUACAUGAAGCUGGAAUCGCUAGUAAUCGUAGAUCAGCAUGCUACGGUGAAUACGUUCCCGGGUCU
Molecule: ribosomal RNA, 1370 nt
Filed under: uncultured bacterium
Lineage: Bacteria
Description: bacterial SSU rRNA
Rfam family: Bacterial small subunit ribosomal RNA
Source: RNAcentral